This 253-nucleotide ribosomal RNA is filed under the name uncultured bacterium. RNAcentral's name for it is "partial 16S ribosomal RNA". It matches the Rfam family "Bacterial small subunit ribosomal RNA", at positions 524 to 776 of the family's 1533-position model. The record is from RNAcentral.
UACGUAGGGAGCAAGCGUUGUCCGGAAUCAUUGGGCGUAAAGCGCGCGUAGGUGGCUUCGUAAGUCCGUUGUGAAAGUCAAAGGCUCAACCUUUGAAAGCCGAUGGAUACUGUGAAGCUAGAGUACGGAAGAGGCGAGUGGAAUUCCUGGUGUAGCGGUGGAAUGCGCAGAUAUCAGGAGGAACACCGGUGGCGAAGGCGGUUCUCUGGGCAUUACCUGACGCUGAGGAGCGAAAGCGUGGGGAGCAAACAGG